AAGAGAAGAGACCCAGCACUGAGAAAAUCGUGAUGGCCGUCUCACUGAGAUCUAACAGGGGGGAGGAGAGCAGGGAUAACCUUUGAGAUUUACUUGGAGAAAACUAUUCUGCUACCAACUAAAGCCGGCUUACACUCCAUGAGUCCCAGGAGGAUCAAAGAGGCCAGCCCCGUCAUCGUCAUGGAGAGAAGCAGGAUGCCGCGGCGACCGCACCUGUCUACGGUCAUCCAAAGCAACAGCCAGGCCCCACCGCCUGCACACACAGAGAGCAGAACGAGGAUCUAACGUCAGUGCUGCAAACACACCUGUGAAGCUCUCGUCGUCCCUCACGUCUCUGUUGGAGUUUCUUCUCUCGCUGAAU
Haplochromis burtoni (Burton's mouthbrooder) is the source of this 361-nucleotide long non-coding RNA. RefSeq lists it as uncharacterized. NCBI's taxonomy places the organism in Eukaryota, Metazoa, Chordata, Actinopteri, Cichliformes, Cichlidae. The record is from RefSeq and is a predicted model, not a curated record. The transcript has 3 exons.